Molecule: long non-coding RNA, 2505 nt
Organism: Passer domesticus (house sparrow)
Lineage: Eukaryota; Metazoa; Chordata; Aves; Passeriformes; Passeridae
Exons: 2
Source: RefSeq, a predicted model, not a curated record
CGCCGCCCCUGCUCGGGCCCCGCCGGCUCCCCUUGUGUACGAAAGGAGCUUAAAAAGCCAGGCUUACUUGUUGGAGGUGCCGUGUAAAUUGGUGAGAAGCGUGAAGUUGUUCCUCACGCUUCUUAGGCUGGCCAGCACCUGAGGGAGACAAAACCGCAGGUGUCACCUUCUCUACUUUAAUGCUUUAAAAACUAUUUUAGAGGCCAAUGUGCCACCAACUCACCUGGGCGAAAGGUGUGACGAUCAGGUCGUCGCCAUGCCUAAGGAAAAACGGAGAAAAAUGUAUAAAUUUCUGUACAAAUUUACCUUCAAACAGAGUGAAAUUCACCUCAGGGAACGAGUGUUUUCCCGAGGGCGUUGAACGUACCCACGCAGCAUUUAGUUAACACCACAUAAAAGCUUGUUCCUAAUGGAAAGGUCACCGUGUAUAUCCAAAACAACCGGCUGGAGCGAGCGUUCGGACUGGGAACGCCAGGCAAUAAAAGGCAGGAAAUUCAAAAGUUAAGGCUCACACUCGCACAGCGGUGGAAAAAAACCAACCGUAGUGGUGCGGGGAAAGGUCACCUUUGAAUUUCCUGGCUUUUGUUGAUCUCUGUCGCAGUCUCUAACCUUGCUCAGACGCCGGGUUUUGUCCGGCUGUUUUCAUCAUGGAAGAUUUGAGCAGAAGUUGUGAGCAAAACACACCACUGCCAGCAAUAAGAGGGAUUUUUUUUUCUCUUUUCUUUCUUCGAUUUUUUUUUGUAUUAGUUAUGGCACUUGUGCGUGUUUGGAACAUUCUGUAUGAGAGAUGGAAGGGUAUAGAAUCAUUUAAAGGUCCCUCCCAUCCCAAACCAUUCCAGGAUUCCAUUAUUCUAAACACCUCACUCCACCCUCCAUGCCUUUUGCACAAGCCCUGGGGUUCAAUUUGCCAAACCUCCCUCCAAGUCUUACGAGCACAACAGGGACAAAGGCACCACAAUGUGACAACACUCCCCAGCCCAGCCCUGUGCUCACCUGCUCCAGAGCCAAACUUUUGAAACCCUGAGAGAUUUGCAAGCACUGGGCACUUGUGGGAGCUGGAUGCCCAAACCAUGUUUUAUCCAUUCCAGGUAUCAGUUCAGUGGAUUUUAAACAGCUGUGCUGUAAAAUGAAAGGCUGUUUAAAAAGUAAAAAAAAACGCACUAAACUUUUUGUCACCUUUUCCAUUUUACACCCACUUUCUUGUGGUUUCAUAGCUUGGCUCUGUAACCCGUGGCUGAAGUCACCCUGGCCACUCCAGCAAGUGACACCCCUCGUAAAAGCUGAAAAUGAGCAGGUUGACCUCCUUUGGGCCUGAUAGAAACACCAGAUGUGUGACACGGCCCAGAAAGCCGAGUGAGGUACAGCCAUGCUCAGGAGGAAUUUCCUUGCCUUUGGGAGUCAGGUUUUGUCUCUUGCAGUAGGAGCUGAGUGCUUGCUCCAGUGCCUCAUCCCAUGCCAGAUGUUGUCCCACCAGGACACCAGGCUGUGGUUCCUGCCACGCCUUUCUCCAUCCCUCCACUCCUUAAUCCAGAAGAUUCCCUGAGCACAGUGGCAGAGAAGACCCCAGCUCUCCCUCCUUUCUGCAGAGAGAGCUUUAACUGCAGCAGGAAGAGCUCAUAAAGUACUAAUGUCUGAACUUGCCUGAAUCCUGCAAGUUUUCCAGAUUUCUACACCACUGGGAUGAGCUGGACACAUUCAGGCUGCCUUGGUGAGAAGCCUGGCACAGCCAAUGCCCAGCUGGGAACACCACGCUGCUCCAGCUCCUGCUGCCCGCUUCCCAUGUUCCCUGUUCCAGCACCUGGAAUGCUGCCGUACGGAUCACGUGGGGAGCCCAACUGAAAAGUGCUUUUAUUCCUUUCCUCAAGUUCAAUGUGCAGCCACACCAGUGCUCCUCAGGCUCUUUUUCCUUGGCCUUGAUCCAGCACUCAGCCAGAAGUUAACAGAAAAUUCCCCAAAAAGUGACUGAUCCCAGAGUUUGGGGUUACCUCUGCCAGGAGUGAACAGGCACUCCCAGAGGUACAGCCUGUGAGCACGAUCCUCAAACCCAGAAAUAACUCUGCUGUCACUGCUUUUUAAUAGGUACAAGAACUGGAAUAUGGGAAAAUGUUCCCCUUGGAUAUCAGGAAAAUGUAUCCCCGACAUACACAGAGCAAGCAUUUAAUCUUGUGUUUGUCACCAGUUGCUCCUGGUUUGCACAACACUGGAACUGUGUCCUGAUGCCAAAAAGUAUCUCCCAAACAAACAUCUGGUGGAAUUGGUAAGAACUGCAGUGGGAUUGUAAAGUUGCCCUCUCAGAGCUGCAUUUCCCACUAAUUUUUUUCAAUUGGAAGUUAUCUGCUGAGCUCUCCUGGAAAAACUUCAUCACUGUGUUCAGAACACUGCACAGACUGCGAGGUCCUCUCCACAGUUUGCACACCCCACAGGCUUUGUCCAAGUGGAAAAAAACCUGCAUUUGCCUGCUUAAAGAUAAGGAUGGCAGAGUACAAACCACAAAAAAACCCCAAA